GAUGAACGCUGGCGGCGUGCCUAAUACAUGCAAGUCGAGCGAACAGACGAGGAGCUUGCUCCUCUGACGUUAGCGGCGGACGGGUGAGUAACACGUGGAUAACCUACCUAUAAGACUGGGAUAACUUCGGGAAACCGGAGCUAAUACCGGAUAAUAUAUUGAACCGCAUGGUUCAAUAGUGAAAGACGGUUUUGCUGUCACUUAUAGAUGGAUCCUCGCCGCAUUAGCUAGUUGGUAAGGUAACGGCUUACCAAGGCAACGAUGCGUAGCCGACCUGAGAGGGUGAUCCGCCACACUGGAACUGAGACACGGUCCAGACUCCUACGGGAGGCAGCAGUAGGGAAACUUGCGCAAUGGGCGAAAGCCUGACCGAGCAACGCCGCGUGAGUGAAGAAGGUCUUCGGAUCGUAAAAAUCUGUUAUUAGGGAAGAACAAAAGUGUAAGUAACUAUGCACGUCUUGACGGUACCUAAUCAGAAAGCCACGGCUAACUACGUG
This 497-nucleotide ribosomal RNA is filed under the name uncultured bacterium. Its description in RNAcentral is "partial 16S ribosomal RNA". It matches the Rfam family "Bacterial small subunit ribosomal RNA", at positions 28 to 507 of the family's 1533-position model. The record is from RNAcentral.